This 765-nucleotide long non-coding RNA is filed under the name Prunus persica (peach). RNAcentral's name for it is "long non-coding RNA (PPER_LNC002734)". Lineage: Eukaryota; Viridiplantae; Streptophyta; Magnoliopsida; Rosales; Rosaceae. The record is from RNAcentral.
GGGACAUUCGGAAUACAUAUGUCGCCAAGGCUUGGGCGACAUGCAAGUAUAACAGCUUGCGUGUAUAGCUUGAGGAGGUGGGCUAUCGUGGACGCUAAAGGAAUGACCAACAGAAGUGUGGGUAAACCGAUGGUGUGUUGGAUCGCUAUGUCUUGACAUGGACAUGAGCGAGACAUGAGGAAAGCAUGCGACGUGGUCGAUGCAGUUGACGUGUCUUAUGCAACGCUUGAUGUAUGGGCGUCAAGGGUUCGUUGCCGGAUGCGGGGUGAUUGUAUUGUCACACGGUAGUGUGACUCGUUGUCUAGUGGAAGACGACACUUGAAGGUAAACCUCUCGCGGAGUUGUGAGAGUCAUGUGAAUCAUGAAGUGGGAGAAGGCUGACCAGGAUUCGAAGGGACCCUGGGCCGCACGGGUGUGCUUUGAAUGGCGAAAUGUGUGUUUCGCUUCCGCCGCGCCGUGCCGCUCGCUCAUCCCGUGACAACAUGCAAACUCAUAUAUGCUAUGACAAUAAGCAUACAUUACAUCAACAAGAAAGAAUGCGUGUUAAAAGAGUCCAGUUUGGGCUAAGACAUUGACUAUGGGUAAAAGUGGGAAGUGUUGAGAUUGGAAAAUUCGUAUGCAAUUUAAAUGGGACACUGUCACCGUGUAGUAAAUGGUGCAGCAAGUCAUGUGGCAUCAAAUGAUGGUUGAUGUUGAAGACAAUUUACUUUCCACCUAAUUAACUGUUUUUUUCUGGUUCACAGACGUAUUGAAAUUGCUUGAGGC